CCUCUUCCUGUUUGCGGGCUGCCAAACAGUAAUUCAGAGGUUGUUUCUCAAGCACCAGAUAUCACCUCCCCCAGGAAGACCGCCUUUUACCUCUCCAGGACAAGACCAAUACGUCGUCACCAAUGAGUUUAGCGCUCCGUGUCCCUGGCCACUGAGUCAAAGAUGGAUGUGAAGAGGCAUUACAGCAAGCAUGAACUCUCAUUCUACCAUUCCACACUUGUCAGCACAGACGGGAGACUCCAGAGGUUAUGUGAAAACACAGAUUGUUUCUUCCCAGAAAGGAAGGGCAGUGCAAUUUCACAUGGAAAGGCAGCCACCAAAUGCCAUUGCGAUGGACCACGAAGACCUCUUCACUGGACUUCACGCUCCUACAUUGGCCACCCUGUGGACCAGCCUCAACGUAACAGCCACCAGGACAACCACCAUCCUACCUCUUUUACUCAGAGGAAAAGCCACAGGCUUUACGAGAGCCUCCAAGGUGCUGCGUGACCUGUCCAACACCAUCUCUCUAAUCUCCUCUCCUAGGACACUUUCGAUAAUCCUUGAACAUGACCAGAGCAGCACUGGCUGUCCCCUUUGCAUCCUUAAGCAGAUGACCUCUGCUUAAACACUACCUCUUCCUUAAUCCUUCCAUGCCCCGCUCAUCUGAAAUUCCAGCUCCCUUCUCCAUCCCCAACCCUGCUCCACGUUCUCCCCUCCAACAUUUUCAAAUUCUGCCACUUAUUUAAUGUUUUAAAUUCAUUGAU
This is a long non-coding RNA of Suricata suricatta (meerkat), 746 nucleotides long. RefSeq lists it as uncharacterized. Lineage: Eukaryota; Metazoa; Chordata; Mammalia; Carnivora; Herpestidae. The transcript is spliced from 3 exons. The record is from RefSeq and is a predicted model, not a curated record.